Long non-coding RNA from Dreissena polymorpha, 451 nucleotides. RefSeq lists it as uncharacterized. The record is from RefSeq and is a predicted model, not a curated record. Lineage: Eukaryota; Metazoa; Mollusca; Bivalvia; Myida; Dreissenidae. The transcript has 5 exons.
CAGGUAGAAGAAUGUCUGCGACUAAGCCGAGGGCCACUUGAGGAUUGGGUUGUUGAUGGUAAAACAGGUAGAAGAAUGUCUGCGACUAAGCCGAGGGCCACUUGAGGAUUGGGUUGUUGAUGGUAAAACAGGUAGAAGAAUGUCUGCGACUAAGCCGAGGGCCACUUGAGGAUUGGGUUGUUGAUGGUAAAACAGGUAGAAGAAUGUCUGCGACUAAGCCGAGGGCCACUUGAGGAUUGGGUUGUUGAUGGUAAAACAGGUAAAAGAAUGUCUGCGACUAAGCCGAGGGCCACUUGAGGAUUGGGUUGUUGAUGGUAAAACAGGUAAUAAUACUAAUUUAUUAUCAUGUACACAGGCAAAUAAGCAUAUUUAUGAUGCUUAAGGUGUGAAAUACUGUCCUAAUCAGUUUUGUGGUCACUCAAACUCUUGCCGUCGUGCAAUUCCCAUGCAG